RNAcentral lists this ribosomal RNA (253 nucleotides) under uncultured bacterium. RNAcentral describes it as "partial 16S ribosomal RNA". It matches the Rfam family "Bacterial small subunit ribosomal RNA", at positions 524 to 776 of the family's 1533-position model. The record is from RNAcentral.
GACGUAGGGCGCGAGCGUUGUCCGGAUUUAUUGGGCGUAAAGAGCUCGUGGGCGGCUUGUCGCGUCGACCGUGAAAACUUGGGGCUCAACCCCAAGCCUGCGGUCGAUACGGGCAGGCUCGAGUUCGGUAGGGGAGACUGGAAUUCCUGGUGUAGCGGUGAAAUGCGCAGAUAUCAGGAGGAACACCGAUGGCGAAGGCAGGUCUCUGGGCCGAUACUGACGCUGAGGAGCGAAAGCGUGGGGAGCGAACAGG